UCUCUUUUAACUGGCAGGUUAGAUAGCUUACUCUUCAAGCUAACGUUUUUGUGUUUGUAUAAUACGUUGAAUAAGUUGAUUCUCGGUGUAUAUAUAUAUCUGGGUUGCUUUUUGGCAUCAAAACAACAUUUUUGAUAACGUUUGAUAGUGCAUGCUUAAUAACAACUAACAUUAAUUACAAAUGCGGUGACGUUUGCUAGCAAUCUGUUUUCACAUUAAUGAAUUAACUUAGUUAACUUAUAGUUUGAGAUAUGUUGUUUGCAAUUGUUUGCUGCAGAGCAUAGUAACUUGUGUGAGUAAAUAAGAUAGUAAUUAAUUCCUUUUUCAUCAACUCCCUAUUAUGCUCAUAAGUUAUACGAAACUUCCCCAGGAGCACUGUUAAAGUAUUUUGGGGGAGGCACUGACUCAGCCCAGGGGCAGUCCACCUCCUCAGGCUCGGCCAAGGCUAAUGAAUCAGGUCCAUCUCCAUUCUCUGCUCCAUCUGCUGUGCCCACUGUCUCCUCUGUGUCUGCUGCACCCUCAGCUCUACCUGGUCCAUCUCCAUCCUUUGCUCCAUCCACUGUGCCCACUGUUCCCUCUGUGUUGCAGUUUAUUUAAAACAAAAAUAAUAAAGCAGAUUGUGUUUA
This is a long non-coding RNA of Epinephelus moara (kelp grouper), 626 nucleotides long. RefSeq lists it as uncharacterized. The record is from RefSeq and is a predicted model, not a curated record. The transcript has 3 exons. NCBI's taxonomy places the organism in Eukaryota, Metazoa, Chordata, Actinopteri, Perciformes, Serranidae.